Molecule: ribosomal RNA, 407 nt
Filed under: uncultured Intrasporangiaceae bacterium
Lineage: Bacteria; Bacillati; Actinomycetota; Actinomycetes; Micrococcales; Intrasporangiaceae
Description: partial 16S ribosomal RNA
Rfam family: Bacterial small subunit ribosomal RNA
Source: RNAcentral
UGGGGAAUAUUGCACAAUGGGCGAAAGCCUGAUGCAGCGACGCCGCGUGAGGGAUGACGGCCUUCGGGUUGUAAACCUCUUUCAGCAGGGAAGAAGCGCAAGUGACGGUACCUGCAGAAGAAGCACCGGCUAACUACGUGCCAGCAGCCGCGGUAAUACGUAGGGUGCGAGCGUUGUCCGGAAUUAUUGGGCGUAAAGAGCUUGUAGGCGGUUUGUCGCGUCUGCUGUGAAAUUUCGGGGCUUAACCCCGAACUUGCAGUGGGUACGGGCAGACUAGAGUGUGGUAGGGGAGACUGGAAUUCCUGGUGUAGCGGUGAAAUGCGCAGAUAUCAGGAGGAACACCGAUGGCGAAGGCAGGUCUCUGGGCCAUAACUGACGCUGAGAAGCGAAAGCAUGGGGAGCGAACA